RNAcentral lists this ribosomal RNA (465 nucleotides) under uncultured bacterium. RNAcentral's name for it is "bacterial SSU rRNA". It matches the Rfam family "Bacterial small subunit ribosomal RNA", at positions 338 to 795 of the family's 1533-position model. The record is from RNAcentral.
CCUACGGGUUGCACCAGUGGGGAAUAUUGCACAAUGGGCGCAAGCCUGAUGCAGCCAUGCCGCGUGUAUGAAGAAGGCCUUCGGGUUGUAAAGUACUUUCAGCGGGGAGGAAGGCGAUAAGGUUAAUAACCUUGUCGAUUAACGUUACCCGCAGAAGAAGCACCGGCUAACUCCGUGCCAGCAGCCGCGGUAAUACGGAGGGUGCAAGCGUUAAUCGGAAUUACUGGGCGUAAAGCGCACGCAGGCGGUCUGUCAAGUCGGAUGUGAAAUCCCCGGGCUCAACCUGGGAACUGCAUUCGAAACUGGCAGGCUAGAGUCUUGUAGAGGGGGGUAGAAUUCCAGGUGUAGCGGUGAAAUGCGUAGAGAUCUGGAGGAAUACCGGUGGCGAAGGCGGCCCCCUGGACAAAGACUGACGCUCAGGUGCGAAAGCGUGGGGAGCAAACAGGAUUAGAUACCCCAGUAGUC